RNAcentral lists this ribosomal RNA (450 nucleotides) under Triticum aestivum (bread wheat). Its description in RNAcentral is "partial small subunit ribosomal RNA". The record is from RNAcentral. Lineage: Eukaryota; Viridiplantae; Streptophyta; Magnoliopsida; Poales; Poaceae.
AUGAUAGCUAGUGAUUUUAAUGAAAUUUUGUAUUCCCAUGAAAAAGAGGGUGGAGUGCCGAGGCCAAUGCACAUGAUGCAGAACUUUUGAGAUGCCCUUGUUGAUUGCGAGAUGGAGGAUAUGGGAUGUAACGGUGACCUUUACACUUGGAGGAGGAGGAGGCUUAGGGAAAGGCUGGACAGAGCGGUAUGUAAUGGCCAGUUUCAUGGUUUAUUCCCAAGUACAAAAGUCACUAACACUUCUCAUAUAAAGUCGGAUCACAGACCCCUCUUCAUUGAUACCGAGGGGGAUGGGCAGGUAGUUCCUCAAACCCAUCGGAAGUGUUUUGAGUCGAGGUGGUUGCAAGAGGAUAACAUUAUGCAAGUGGUGUCCAAUGCGUGGGAACGUUCAGACCCGACAGCGCCAAUUGCAGAACGAACAGCGAGUGUCCAUUCCACUUUGCAUGAGUGA